UACGUAGGGGGCAAGCGUUGUCCGGAAUCAUUGGGCGUAAAGCGCGCGUAGGCGGCCAGAUAAGUCCGGUGUGAAAGUCACAGGCUCAACCUGUGAAUGCCGCUGGAAACUGUCUGGCUUGAGUCCGGAAGGGGCGAGUGGAAUUCCUGGUGUAGCGGUGAAAUGCGCAGAUAUCAGGAGGAACACCAAUGGCGAAGGCAGCUCGCUGGAACGGUACUGACGCUGAGGCGCGAAAGCGUGGGGAGCGAACAGG
Molecule: ribosomal RNA, 253 nt
Filed under: uncultured bacterium
Lineage: Bacteria
Description: partial 16S ribosomal RNA
Rfam family: Bacterial small subunit ribosomal RNA
Source: RNAcentral